UCUGACAUGACAACUCCAUAAUCAAACUUGAAAGGAGACUAAUUUCCAGCUGGUGGCGGGGAGAGGAAUGGAAUAGAGGGAAUUGUAGUUGGGAGAGGGAUAUUGGGAAUUGAAGGCAUGCUUGGAAGUGGAGGCAAGGUGGCCUUGGGGACGACGGUAGGCAGUGCUGGCAUGCUUGGAAGUGGAGGCAAGGUGGCCUUGGGGACGACGGUAGGCAGUGCUGGCAUGCUUGGAAGCGGAGGCAAGGUCGCCUUGGGGACGACGGUAGGCAGUGCUGGCAUGCUCGGAAGUGGAGGCAGAGAGGGUUUAGGCAGUGAAGGUUGUUGCGUGGUGGGCAAAGUUGGCAAUGUGGGCUGUGGAAGUGUUGGUAUAGAAGGCAUUGGUGGCAAUGCAGGUUUAGGCAAACUGGGCACGGAAGGUAGAGGGGGCAAUUGCAGAAGAUGACGGGCUGCCCCGCCGCGUGAAAGGGACACAGCGAUGAAAAGAGCUAAGAUGAAACAGUUGAGACUUGCCAUCUUGAUGCUAAGUCUUAUGGCCUGAAAGAGAGUAUAUGAACAGGAGAUAAGGAGGUAAAGAACUGUGUGAGAUUGUCUGUGACAAACUAGGGCUCCUCAUAUCGGGUUUUUAUAGAUGGAAACGAAGUGGAGAUCCAUUUCUGUGAUCUGUCACAGAUGGUUGGUUUAGGUUAGAAAGCAAGACAAUCAUUUUGUGUUUUGUAAUUGGUAGGUCACCUUCUUUUCCAUCUUCCAUUGAAAACAAUACCAUGUUUUUUUUUUGUCUUGUUGUGGUGACUAGGAGUACGUUUUUUCCCUUCUUUCACUCCUCGUGCUGGCUAUUGCAGGACUCAAACUUGUUUUGUUGGCCAAUCUAACUAUUGUUAUCCGUUUGGUAAUGUGAUUUUGAGUUCAGAGGAACAUCUAAUUAGUCCUGAAAAUGUUGUUUUCCUUGAAAAGGAAGAAGAAAAACUCAGUGUUCUAGCCAAUCUAAUCUUUCUUCUACUGCAUAACUCCACACAAAAUCAGUCCUGUCUUCUAGAUGCUAAGACUAACUAACAAAACGGGUUAUGGCUUCUUGUUCUUUGACCGCAAAGGGAUAUGUAGUUGAAACUUGAAAAAUCGAAUUUUCCCUUGUACCCAAUGGCGCAAGCACAACUUGCUUAAAGCACUUACAAGAGAAAAAAAACUGAGGUAACAUUUGGUUAUUUUCUGAAAACAAGAUAAAAAGAAGACGGAAACAGUCGAGAAAAUGGAGUCUAUUAGUGGUGUAUAAAACAAAAUACAUAUUUUGUAAUGUUAUCUUCUUGUAUGUAUUAAAAAAUAAUAUAAAUUAUUUUUUAAGAUUUGACUUAAUAAUUUAAAUUAUUAGUUUUAAAUGAUUAUUUGAUAUAAUAUUCGAGUCUUGAUAACUAAACGGUUAUAAAUUUAAAUCUCAUCAUCUUUAUUUAUUUGAUAAAAAUUAAGCAUAACAUAAUAUAUGCCCAUAUAAGUUUCAAGCUCAAAAAUUAUAUUUUGAAAACCUUACCCAAUAACUUAAAUUAUUAAAUUAAAAUGAUUUUUUUAACACCAUGUUCAUGAAGUAGAAGUUGGGACAAAAUGCCAAAUUGGUGAACAACUGAACAUUCGAUUAGAUGAUGGAGAAAGUUUUUAAUUAAAGAGAAUUAUUGAUGUAUAUAGGCAAACCUUGUCCGGCCAAUUAUCCUGUGGUCACAGCUGAAAAAGGAUUUGCCUGUGUUCUUGUGCAAAAAUUCCUGUAGGAUUUACUUUUUAUUCUGCCUUCAUCAUGACUCUAUACCUUCUGGUAAUUUCUGAAACGAAUUACCAAUGCCCUAUAAUUUUGCGUGUCAGGUUGCAUGAAAUAAUAACACACAAAUUUCUAUUACAGUCCACAAUCCAAAAAACUUAAAACAGACGAUCAUAUCAUGUUCACAUUAACUCACAAUUAUUACAGCAUACACAUUAUUGUUUCGUCAACAUGUUUAAUUUAAAGAGAAAAUCUUACCCCAAUCUUUCGGUCAAAUAGCUUCAAAGUUCAUGAAAUGAAAAUUAUCAUUUAGAAAUCUCUUAUAUAUUUGGCUGGUGGAUACUCUUGAGUUUCCCAAGCAUUAGAAAUUAUAAAUCUAAAAUUGUUUUUGGAUUCUUGAGAUUUAGAGUUAUUUAGAAUAUAUACAAAAAUUACUUGAAAAUCAAAUAUUAUUUUUGGUUUUGAAUAAUUUCUUAAAGACUGGGUUAUUGCAAAUCCCAAGCCAUCUAAAUAUCCAACAUUUAAUGAUAAUUCAUACGAACAAUUUCAUUUAAUUUUUGCUCCAUUAUUAAAUAGAAGAUAUCUUUUCACAAUAUUGAUAUGCAUUUAUUUUUUAAGAUGAUUAUUGCAUGUUUUAUUAAUUUAAUUUAUUUAUUAUUGAUGCUAUUUUUAAUUAUAUUAUUUUAAUAACUGGAAUUACUGAGUCAAAACUUGUUAAUAACUCAAACUUUUGAUUUUUUUUUUUUUUUUUUUUACAAACAUUAGUAUCACUUCAACACCCCUUGUUUUAUAUUGAAAAAAAACUUCAUCUGAUCAGCGGCGUAGCGUGAUACACCUAUGUAAGUUCUUUCUAUUUAUUUUUCUAACAUUUUCUACAAGCUAAUCGACUCAUUAUCACAGGCCUAUCAUUCAAAGGUACAACUAGUGUCAUUUCCAAAGCCAUGGUAGAACAUCAAAGGUACAACUCCUGCCAUCUCAGAAAGGGUGUUUCUGAAAUAAUGAAAUAUCAAACACAGACAACCUUAAAUAAAUAGGCUCAUAUAUUGGUUAAAAGAAAAGAGAAGAAUGAACUAAUUAAAUGUGAAAGUUCAUAUAUAUAUAUAUAUGAUGAAAGGAGACAAAUGAAUACAAGAAGCAAUUAACAGUGUUCAAAUGAAAGUAUACAGACAACACAAUUCCUCAAACUUCCGCGUAGAGAAGUAAGAGCCAAGCACUCAAAAGAUAUAUCUCUGACAUGACAACUCCAUAAUCAAACUUGAAACGAGACUAAUUUCCAGCUGGUGGCGGGGAGAGGAAUGGAAUAGAGGGAAUUGUAGUUGGGAUAGGGAUAGUGGGAAUUGAAGGCAUGCUUGGAAGCGGAGGCAAGGUGGCCUUGGGGACGACGGUAGGCAGUGUUGGCAUGCUUGGAAGCGGAGGCAAGGUGACCUUUGGAACUGCAGGCAUUGUUGGCAUCGUAGGGAGGCUAGGAAGUGGAGGCAAGGUGGGUUUAGGCAGUGAAGGUUGAGUGGUUGGCAAGGCUGGCAAGGUGGGCUGUGGCAGAGAUGGUAUAGAAGGCAAUGGUGGCAAUGGUGGUUUUGGCAGAUUUGGCAAUUGCAGAAGAUUACGAGCUGCUUCCCCUCCCAAAAACGACAAAGCAAUGAAGAGAGACAAGACAAGACACUUGAAAGUUGCCAUGCUGGUAAUGUUCCAAGGCCUCACAAGACUAUAUAUGAGCAAUAAUAUAUAAGCAAAAAGAGGAUUGCAGGAAAUUGUGAGUGACAAUGGAGGACUUUUCUUUGGGUUAAUAUAGAGGAGAUGAAGAGGGGAGCUUGAAUUGUUGGUGUUGUUGAGAAAAAUGGACAGUCAUUUUGAGAUUUGUCAUUGUUAGUUCACCUUUAUAUCUACGUCUAUUGAAAAUAGUAGCACAUGUUGAUUGUUGUUGACUAGCCAUGGUUUUCUUCAGUUUCUUUUUCUUUUUUCAUACGCAAGAUUCAAACACUUGAAGUUCUUCUUUUCUCCCCAGUUUGUUUUUUAGGUGAAUAAGUGCAGUUCAUUGGUUGUUGACCAGCAAUCAAGUUAACUAUAUAUAUAGAUUACAUGAAUCCAUUAAUAAUUAUCAAAUCAGAUUUUAAAAUUCUUAGACCACAGGGAGAUGACCAAGUUAUCCAUACCAAAAAAAAUAAAAAAUAAUAAAAUUAGAAUCCAAGGGUUUUUUUAUAUUUUUUCUUUUUAAAGCAUAGUCUAAAGAAUAAAUUACCUUUAAAAGUACAAUUUUUUUAACUCACAUCCAAGUGUAUUUUUUGUAAUUUCAUCCAGGUUUUUUUUAAUUAUAAUUAAGUUGAUUGAGAGAAAAUUGAUAGUUUAAUAACUAUAAUAUUAUCAAAAAUUGUUGAAGCAUGUAAUAUACAUGUUAAUGAGUGGGUCAACAUGUGAGGAGGCAUUCGACUACCAAAUAAUGGUUUCCAGAAUGAUGUUCAAAUUAUCAUGGUUGUCCUUCUAUCUAUAGUCAACAUGUGUGACUUACUGACACUCGAUUUGACAUUGAUGAUUUUUUUGGUUUUUUUUUUUUUUUUUUUCUUUUUUGAUUUUCAUUUCUAACCCUCUAAAUUUUCAAAAUAGUCAUUCAAUUUUUUUUUCCAGAUUUGAUCCAUUUUUUUUUAUUACUGUUUGUUCUAUUUAAAAUAAUUUAUAAAAUUAAAGUUUUUUUUCAAUUUCAUCAUCUAAUUUUUUCAUCGAUCAGAUUUGGUUCCUAUUAUUUUUAUUGCUAUUUUUUUACUUGAGCUAAUUUAAAAUUAUUUUUUUUAUGAUUUUAUUAUCUUUUAGUUUUUUUUCCUAUCAAAUUUGAUUAUCAUUUUUUUAUUGCUAUUUUUUUUGUACUUUAGCAAAUUUUUUAUAUUGAUAUUUUUUUUUGUUUCAUCCUUCAACAUUAAAUUUAUUAGAGAUUGAGUUUCUUAAUUGAGCUUGAGUUUAGAUGCUUCAGAAUGUAAUUUGGACUCGUUUCUUCAUGAAACCUAUUUGCUGGCAGAAUUCAGUUGUCAUCUUUGAAAAAUCAUAUAUCCCUCAUAAGACAUCUUUUUAGGCCGCAAUUGGGAGUGUUGAUAGGUAUUUGAGUAAGGAAUCCAACAAAGUGAGUUUGCAUCAAUUGGACUUCUGUAGCUCCAGAUAUUCAAGUCGAAAUGGCUGAAGAUCAACACUGACAAAUUGCAAGAUUUGACUUUGAAGGCCGUGAUUUCCAUGCUCUUUCUUAUUUUAUUUUUUUGCCUUAUAUGUCCAGAAAGGUAUGGAUUCUAGCUUUUUAAUGCCACUAGAACCACUUCAUUUUGACAUUUAGAGCUUGUGCUCUGCACAAAACAUUGACUGAAGGUCAAAUCUGCCAAUAACCUCCAAUUUUCUCCUUUUUGUAUCUUUUAUCCAAAAGUGCCUUCAAAACAUAAAAUAACGAAUAUCAAGGCAUUUUAUAUAUAAAACAUAGGCAAAACACAAGUUAAAUGUGGGUGAAACUAUCAAAUAAUAUGGUUGCAUCAAAGCUCCAUAACUAUGUGUUGAUAUAUUGAGCACAAAAGAAAGGUUUAUUAAUAUCGUGAUUAAGAAGUAUGGAGUAGCUAUAUAAAUUUAAUGAGAGUUUGUUUAUUUGAAUGAAUCAAUAAGAAGUUAAGUGAUGAAUGCCUUGCUCAUGGAUCUUGCAAAUUGUUUUUCUAGUUUAACGCUUUAAUUACUAGGAACUAGUUGGAGGGUGUGAUUAGUACUUAAAAGUGCAUUCUCAUUAAGGCUUUAUAUCAUUAUAUUGCACUUAAAGUAUAAUUAAAUUCCCUAACUUAAGCAUGUUUUAUAAUAACAAGUCUUAUAAUAUAAGAUAGCUUUAAUUUAUUAUAAAUGCUCAUUUUAAAUGCAGGCAUAUCUCAUAAUUCAAAGUAUUGAUUGAUGUGAUUAACUAUUGAAAGUGAAAGGAUAAAGAAAGGGCUAAGCUUAGAAAAGAGAAGUUGGUUCAAUUCAAACUGGAACACCAUUCAAUCAUUGGGUCAUAUCUGGAGCUGUAGAUCUUGGAUUUCAGUCUGGUUUAUAUGGUUUGAAAUCUAAGAUAUAGGCCUAAAACAUUCAUGUAGAGUCUAAGACUCAAUUCUGCCCUUUUUAAGUUCAAACCUUAGCAACAAGAGAGAAGUCCAAAUCUAUCUUGCAGCCCAGAGAUUGUUCAGUGUUUAGCCCAUAUCUCGAGUUCUAGAAGUUCAAAUGCACUCUUUUUUUUUUUUGGUGGAAAGCUCAGAUAGAUUCCUACAACUUUCAUGAGACCAAUUUGCCAAAUUUGGAUUGUAGCAGUGCCAUUUUGUCCCGAAAACAAAUCCAUAUCUAAACCACCAAGUCCACUAAGUCAUUAGUUGGCCACUAAUUCAAUAGUUAAUUACCAAAUGAAUAGUUUUUUUUAGCCUAUAAAAUGAGGCAUUUGCCAUACAUUUAGGCAUCUUGGUUUUUAGAUCAAUAUCAUUUUCUUGCUUUCUCUCAUUGUAAUGUUCAAGUUUUAUUUUCAUUAAUCUCUUAUUUAUACUUUUCAUUUCCUUUACUACUCUUAGUUAACUUAUAUCAUGAUUAUGUUCAUAUCCUGUUUAUUUAUAUUCUUCUUCUUCAUUAUGUCUAGCUAAGUUAAUUAUUUCAAGGUGAAAAGGUUUCACUAAUGGUGUUAGAAUUAUAUAAUAUAAACUCAACAUGGACUUCAAUGUUUAUAUCCAAGAAAGUUUGUUGUUAACAUGUCUUAUCUUUUUAUCUUACUAAUUCGUAAUACCUUGCUUGUCAAAUGAUUAAUCUAGAUUUGUGUUGUAUAACACUUGGUACAAUAAAUGUUUGAUCCUUCAUAGUUUUCGGCCAACAUCAUUGUUAUGAGAAGAACUUGAUUUGUUAUUAACAUAAGUUAGCAUCAUGAAUUCAUGAUAAUAUAUAAAAGUAUGGUGUUACUAAAAUAAGAUAAUUAUUAUGAUCAUGUUAAAAAUUUAUAAUGAAUUAUUAAAGAUAAAUCAUUCGAUUGGAAUCUCUUUUACGUGUGGUUUCCAGUUGAAUAAUAAAAGGAGUUUAUAUUAUACUUAUUUCUAAUACCAUUAGUGGAUCCUCUAACCUUGACAAUUGUUUUUAUCAUUAUUUAUUUAAUCCUCACAUUAAUCUCACAACUCAAAGUUCUAUUUAAUUCUCUCUUUAUAUAUAUAUAUAUAUAUAUAUUAUUUGUAAUUUAUAUAGUUGACUUCCCUGUGCAUCGAUCCCGAUCUUGCCGAGUUAUUUAUUACUUUGACACUCCUGCACCUAGGAUAAAACAUCAACUCUUUGGUCGUGUUAUUAAGCGAAGGACAAUAUGCUAAGAACUUAUCUCAUCUCAUUUGCUCUCCGCACUGCAUAAACUUUGUUUUAUUUUACUUUUUUCGGAGAUUGCUUUAAUCAACUAACACUCUUUGCUUAUUUCCUAAUCCCUGGCUAGAAAAUUAAUCAGAAGCUUCCACUUCUCUCCGUUGAGGCCAUGAUGAAGGUCACUUGUUCUAAAACCAGUACUCUUAAGACCAAAAGGUUGGGAGGAUUUUAAGGCUUGUGGAGCGCAUCUCCUUUUUUGUGAUAGCAAUUUGUCAAAACUCUCUUGGUGCGUAAAAGAGAGGUUAGAAAUGCCCUAUUUAUGAGAGUUACAUUGUCGAUAAUAUAAUCUUAAUAUAUAAUAUAAUCCUCACGUGCCCAAUAUUGUCAAAGCAAUUUGUACGAUGGUUAGAGAGAUUGUGUCCAAAUUGUACGAUUCUCCUCGACUUUUUUGGAUCACGGUUAUACAUAAUUUUUUUUUUUUUUUACCAUGAUUCUCCAUAAUAUCAAGUUUAAAAUUAUAUGGUAGAAAGGAAAUAGCUACAAAAGUGCAUAUAAUCUGGGAAGCAAAGAGACAACCACACAUUAAUCCGAGUUGUAGCAAAAACACAAUUGUGCUAUAAAUGGCAAACACUAUACAUGCAUGCUACAUAUUUAUAAAAGCCUGACCUUUCGCAUUAUUGUCACCAAAUCCAUAUUCAGAAAGCAUUAAUGGUAUCGUCUAAAGCAUUGCUGGUUUUGGGAGUUUUCAUGCUCUUGAUGACCACAUUUGUAGCAGGAGAUGUGGCCGAUACCAUUAGAGACAAACCACCAUACAUAAGUUAUGGUGGUCUUGGAUGUGACCCAAAGAAGAAUCCCCGGUGCCUCAACCCAAACCCAGCCCCUUCAGGAAGAGGUUGCAAAGCCGAACAUCGAUGUAGGGAAGGCUAGUGAGGGGAUCGAGCUACACCUUUGGAAGUAGGCCAAAUCGUUGAAUAAGUUUAUUCUUAUGGUAGCAAUACGAUCAUCAAUGGAUGAUUUCUUUUGCUCAAGAUGAUUAUUUCUUCUCCUUUCAAUUUCAUUUCGUGAAUUUUUUCACAUUAUAUAUUAUGUUGUAAUAAAUAUUACAUUAACAAAUAAUCUAAAAUACCUGGAAAAAACAUUGUGGAUGUUCAUUGUGAAAAGACAGUUUCACUUUUCUCUACACAAACCAAAUAACUUGCAAUCGAGGUAUAUUUUUUUUAAUGAACAAUGAUAUAAAUUAAUUGUCCUUGUAAUAAAAAAAAUUUAAAAACUUUCUUAUAGGAGUUUUUUUUUCUUUGACUGUUGGUUUUUUUGUUAUACUCAGGUGAGCUAAGAGGCAUUUUAGUCUUUUAGUCUCUCUCACACACAUGUAUAUAAAGUAAUUGGUGCAAGCCAUACACGUUCUAGCUAGUAGACACCACACAUGCUCUUCCCUUGCAGUGGCAAAACACCACAUUUUGUGACUGCGUUGGAAGCACAUUGACGUCCUUUUUCUAGUGGUGCAACCUAUGUGUGGGUUUUUUUUUUUCCUAUUCCUCCAUCUUUUCUCUUUUCUCAUUGCCAAGGUAUGGUGGUGUCCUAUCAUUUAUUUUUGUAUCAAAUUUGAUAUCUUUUAUUUUUUUUAUUGCUUUUUGUUUUGUUUUUCAAGGUAUGGUGGUGUCUUAUCAUUUAUUUUUUGUAUCCAAUCUGGUUUUUAUUCUUUUAAUUGCUAUUUGUUUUGGGUUUUUUAUCUUCUUUUAAUUUAUCUUUUAACUCAAUUUCCUCCCUAAUCAUUUCGUUUAAUUUGAUUUUUAUAUCAAAUGUGGUCAUUCUUUUGAUUUUUUCUCUUUUACUAAUUGAAUUUUAUUUUCAAUUUCAUCCCUAGCAUGCAUUUCAUUUCAAUUAAAUUAUUUUGAAUUUGGUCCCUAUUUUUUAUUGUUUUUUAAUUUCUUUCAAUACAUGUUUUAUAUCAACCCUAUAAAAUACUUAUAGUUCAUGCAUUGACUCGAUUAUGGAUUUAUUAAUCUCAUUUAAUACAUUUAUUUCUUAAUUUUUGUUAAGGGUUCGUUAAUACAUGUAACUUAUAUUUAACUUCGGUUAUCAAUUUAUCAACCUUGUUCACCACACUUGAAUCAUAUUUAACUUAAGUUGUGGGUUUAUUAUUCUCGUUUAAUACAUUUAACUAAUGCCUUAUUUUGAUUAUGGUUUCAUUACAUCUUUCAAUUUCCGUGGCUUAUAUUUAAGGGUGACCUUAUUCAUUUAAUCAAUUUAAUAAUCUUAUUCAUUUUCUGGUACUCAUAAUCCUACUUUAUGUCAACUAUGUAUUUUUUAUAUAUAAUAUGAUGUUUGUGGUCAAUUCUUGCAUCAACCCCACACUUAUUUAUCAAUUUUGCUAGUUUAUAGUCCACGUUGUUAAUUGAGUCUAGUUCCUAGAACAAUGAUUGUACCCACACCCUAGCCAUGAGUAACUGUCAACAUUGCAAAGAUUAAGAAAAAAAAAUGUUCAAGGCCAUCCCAUCUAUGAUAAGAAUUGCAGCUAAACUGUUAUGGAAAGGCUAAGGGAACAACAAAAUUAUUCCAUCCCACGAAGCAAAAAUAAAAAGUUUUCAUUUUAAAAAUGAACCAAUCAUACCUCAAAAGACGGUAAACCAAGAAAAUUUAAAAAUCCAAAGACAGUAAACCAAAAAGAAUCCAAAAACGAAAUCAUGUUGCAUAAAAACAAAGAAAACCCUUCCAAACCAACCCCAAGAGAAAGGGGGGAAACGAUUAAGCAAAAUUGAAACAAAAAAAGUAUGCAAACAAAAUAUUUUGAAGCAAUUUAGCAAAAUAAACUUAUUGCAUGAAACUAAACAUGCACUAAACAAUGAAAGAACAGAGAACACAACAAAAUAUGGAAAUUGUUGGAUUUCUUUGUGUUUGGGACGACUCCAACAACAAUGAAACAAAACAAUAAUGAAAUCACCAGGAACAAAUAACUUCAUCAAGCAAACAACUUACAUAGCAAAAUCAUUCUUAGAAAAUGUUGUCAAUUGUCCUUAACACAACAGUUCAGCCAGAAAUGAACAAAUAUGCCAAGAAUCCAACACUAGUAGCUAACUAAUACUUCAACAACAAUAUGAAGCCCAAUCAAACAUGCAAUAAAGAAUGAUGGCCAAGCAAGGGAAAAUAAAGGAAUUGAACCCAUUGAUGCUCGGACACUUAGGCAAGCAAGGCAGAACAAAAAAUUGAUCCAUGAUAAUAAUGGUUAUGCAUGGUUUGCAUGUUAAUUCAUUAAUGACAAUGUUUAUGUUUCUUAAAAUGUUAAUAAAGUGAGUUAGGCUUUUAAUUCUACUUCUUACUAUUCUUUUAAGUGUGCACACGAUCUACACCCAACCUUUAAUUACCCGUAGCAAAGCUCGGGCAAUCAAUCUAGUAGAGUCUAAACAUUAAAAGGGUGAAGUUUAGCUAAUUUUCUCAAGUUUAUCCAAUGUGGUCAUUAGUAUGGAAAGUGAUUUGUUUUGAGUAUAAGUAAUAUAAAAUACAUUUUAGGAUGCAAGUCAUUAUCCAUAUUAAUUUUCAAUCUUUUUGUCCACACAAAAUUUCUAGCGGUGAAAACAUACGUUGCCUUUCGUGAUUUUUUAAGUUCAAACUUCGAGGUAAAAAUAUGAAAAACUUAGGUUGAGUAUUGAUAUAUCAAUAGCACAUUAGAUAGCACAGUACAUCAUGCACACAUCACCAUAGUUGAGUUUAAAACUCAGAAUAGUUUAAUAAAAGAAAAUAAAUCUGAUGUAAAUAUAUUAUUUCAAAGACAUACUAGUAAUGUGACACGACCAAAAGCUUGAUGUCUUUUCCCAAGUGCAGGAGUGUCGAAGUAAUAAAUAACCCGGCAAGACCGGGGUCGAACCACAGAGAGGUUAAUUGUAUAAAUUAUAAAUAACAAGACAACAACAACAACAACAACAACAACAACAACAACAACAACAAUAAUAAUAACAAUAAUAAUUAUUAUUAUACUCAGUACGUGGCGUUGUUAUACCUGAGAAUGAUCUAAAGAUCGGGUCACAGGUUUCCAGCCUAUAUACUGAGUUUAUGAAAAGAUCAAAUAUAUAUAUUAUAUAAUAUAAACAGAAUGUAAAUAAUAAUAAUAAUAAUAAUAAUAAUAACAGAAGAUGAAGAAAUUAAUGAGAACUUUGAGAUAAAAGAUUAACGUAAGGAUUAAACAAUGAUAAAAACAAAUGUCAAGGUUAGAGGAUCCACUAAUGGUACUUCAAACAAGUAUAAUAUAAACUCUUAUUACUCAAUUGGAAACCACACAUAAAGGAGGUUCCAAUCAUAUUAUAAAUUGUUAACAUGAUUACAUUAGUUAUCUUAUUCGAAUAAAGCUAAUACUUGUAAAUGUUGGCAGGCAUUCAUGAUUAUAACUUAUGUUAACAACAAAUCAAGUUCCUUUCAUAGCUCAGGUGUCGGUUAAACCAUACAGUAUGGGCUAUGAAAGUGCCAAGUAUUUGUUGUACCAAGUGUUACAACAUAAAUCUAGAUUAACCAUUUAACAAGCAAAGUAUUAAAAGUGAACAAGAUAACAAAUAUAAAACAUGUUAGUAUCCAACGUUAAGGUCCAUGUUAAGUUUAUAUUACUAUUCUUACACCAUUAGUGUACCCUUUUCACCUUGACAUAAUUAACUUAGCUAGACAUAAUAAAAAAAAACAUAAAUGAGCAAGACAAGAACAUAAAUGAGAAAGAAGUUAACUAACAAAGGAAAGGAAAUGAAGUGCAUAAACUUGAUAUUAAUGAAAGCAAACAUAAGCAAUACAAAGAGAGAAAGCAAGAGCAUGAUCUUGAUCUGAAACCAAGAUGCCUCAAUACAUGGUAAGUGCCUCCUUUUAUAGGCCAAAAUUUGGAACUAUUGAUUUGUUGACUAAUUGAUGAGUGGGUGGCCACAUCUUGACUUGAUAACAAUCCUUAUCUUCUUGUCUGAACAAGACGUCAUUGCUAACAUCAUAAUUUGCCCAGAAUCCUCAGAAUGUUCUAGGAAAUUGUCUCAGCUUUCCAACAAAAAAAAGAUGAGGUCAUUUGGACUUCUAGAACUCAAGAUAUGGGCUGAACACUAAAUAGUGUUUGGGCUGCAGGACAGCUUCGGACUUCUUCGUUGUUCCUUCAAUUUGGACUUCAAAACGACCUUUUCAAAUCUUGGGCUCCUCAUGAAAGUUGUAGGCCUUGUCUUACCUUUCCAUCCAUAUAAAGGACCUAAAUCCGAAUCUAGAGCUCCAGAUAUGAUCCAAUUACCGAGCAAUGUUCCGGUUUGGACUGCACCGACAUCUCUUUUCUAAGUUUGGCCAUCUCUUUGUCCUUUAACUUUCAAUGCUUAAACUCAUCAAUCAAUCCUUUUAUUUAUGUGAUAGUCCUGCAUUUAAAAUGAGCAUUUACCAUAAAUUAAGGUAUCUUAUAAUAUCAAACUUGUUAUUAUAAAACAUGCUUUAGUUAAGGAGUUAUUGAUACUUCAAGUGCAAAAUGAUGAUAUAAAACCUUGAUAAACAUGCACUUUUAAGUACUAAUCACACCCCCCAACCAGCUUAUUACUAGUCCCUAGUAAUCUAAAGCGUUAAAAUAGAGAAACAAUUUGCAAGUUCCACAAAGCAAGGCAUUCAUCAUUCAACUUCCAUUAAUCUAUCCAGAUAAACAAACUCUCAUUAAAUUUAUAUUCCUGCUUCAUACUUCGUAAACAAGAUAUUAAUAAACCUUCUUUUUGUGUGCUCAAUGAAAACAUAGAUGAUGGGGCUUUUGUUGGAAGAAAACAAUAUUAUGUUCAAAUGUUUAAGGUGAACUUCCUUGGGUUGGGAUUUUUUUUUUUUUUUUUUUUUUUAUUUAUAUACACAUACAACUUAAAACACAAUGUAUCUUUAACCCAUGUAACGAGUUUUAGGCUAAUGACUCCCAGACCAGUUGGUCUUAGGGCAUUAGGUGUUGAGACACCCCUACGAGCUUAACAACUCGGGUUGCAGAUACUGAUACGUAGAUAGUGCAAUGUUUGAUUCCCUUAAGCUUUUCUCCUUAACCCAUGUAACAAGCUUUGGGCCAAUAGCUCCCAAGUCAGUUGACUUUAGGGUAUUAGGUGUUAAAACACCCCUUCGGGCUUAAUUGCUUAGGUUAGGGAGGCUACGAAACCAAACUUAUCCACGUUUUAUUAUCAUCAAUACUAUCUUUUUUUUUUUUUUUUUUUUUUUUUUUUUUUUUUGCAAAUUAUAUACUAUCCUUUUCCCUUAGUUGUUACCUUCAACAAAAGAACAUAAUUAAUGUAAUAAUCCAAUGUGCAACCCACAAUCAUAUGUUAAAGUGUGUGUGUGAAAAUGAAGGUUUAAUAAUACUUGUUAAAUGAGUAUAGGAGCAGAAUCAAGUGAUAACAAUGUGAGAGUUUGUAAACCUGAAUAUUUCAAGAAGUAUUAUGAUAGACCUUGGUAAUGAAACUUACUAAGAUGCGUCUCUAGAGUCAAUAAAAUUGAUUCCAUACUCUGCCAUCCUAAUAACAAUUUUGUCAAAUGGUUUUAAUAAUAGCAAAAACAGUUAGCAAGUUAGUAUUUUUUUUUUUUUUAAACUACUACCCUCUCCCCCCAACCAAAACGAGACAUUGUCCUCAAUGUUCGAAGGUAGAAAGAUAGAGUAUAGAAGACAUCACCUGAAACAGCGAACAAUGACAAACCUGAAACACACUUAAACAAACAUAAGAAGUAACAAAACAAAAUAAUAUGCUAUUAAUAAAACCAAAAGACACAAGGUUUCACAGAUGAAGGCUCAAAUCUAAUCUAAGCUUUUUACGGCUUUCCUUAGUUGACCAAUCUAGACGACUCAUGCAGGGAUCAAUGACAGGGAUGAAAGAUUGUAGUUGGUCAAUCAAUUGUUCAGCAGUAGCAGCAGAGAUUAUGAUUCGUCGUGCCGAAGAUGUUAGAAAUUCCUGUUCCACAGCUUGAUCAAGGAAAGACAGCAACUUAUCAUAAAAACCAUUAACAUUUAACAAACCUAUAGGUUUAUGGUGAAUGUGCAGUUGGGCCCAAGAUGAAAUAUGAAAGAUCUCUUCCAAUGUGCCCAGACCACCUGGUAAGGCAAUGAAGGCAUCAGCAUGGUUAAACAUGGUAUUCAGUCGGUCAGACAUUGUUGGGACCUGUAGUUCUCUCCAAUUGUUUUUCCAAUGAUGUCCCCAUUGCUAAAGCUUUGGGGACAACCCCCAAAACUUGACUGCCUCCUAAAAAUGCAGCCAUUGACACACCUCCCAUUAACCCAAGGCUACCUCCCCCAUACACUAAAUGAAUCUUUCUCUCAGCUAGUACCCGACCAAGAUGAUUUGCUGAUUCUAAAAACUCUUUUUCUUUCCCAGAACUGGAUCCACCGAAAACACAAAUAUUUCUUAUAUGAUGACUUGAGGAACCUGCCAUUUCUACACACUUCUAUAUUUGAUGAAUAUAUGGGAUGAGUAGAAAUGAAGGGAAGGAAGAGAAGAAUUUAUAGAUGAAAAAGUGAAAAUGCAAUCAUACCACCUAUAUAUAGGCCAGCUGUAGUCUCACAAACUCUCUCUCUCUCUCUAUUAAUUAUUUAUUUUGAAAAAGCAUGUAUGUACAGGUAGUUGUGAUUGUGGCUCACAUCUUCCCUUGGUUUUACGUCCAAGAACGGCUUAAACGCCCUCUAUGGGUCGGGGAUAGGCUUCCCAUCCAGUUUUCUUAAAAACUGGCAAACAGGGUCUUUUUUAGUCAGAUUCCCAAGACUAAGUCGAUCAUGUUCUUUAUGGAAUUGUGGCCAUAAAUCAUGAAUUACACGAUGCACAUCUCCACUAGGAUGCGUCUCAAGGGUCAACAAAAGAUUAUCUAAAGACCCCUUACUCAGGCCAUCCUUAAUGAAUUGUAUUUUAUCUUCACGGUUUACAGAUACCAUUCCUAAAGAACGACAUGUUGCAUUACAAGUCCAUCUGGCACAUCUGUGACAGACUUUCAGUCGUUUUGCACGACGUUUCUUUGCAAAAGUGCUUUUACCUGUUCCAGGCAUGUGUGAAAUGAAAGAAUUGGAGGACUCACCUGAUAAUCGGACCUUUGCUUCAAUUAGCCAGCGAAUAUCUUCAGGAAUUCCAUGAUUCAUUAACAACCGUAAUCUUUCACACCUAGCACGAUAAAUUUUAUUAAUCGCAUUUGGAGGCAAAGCGGGAAAAUACCUUUUCAACUUUUCAAGAGUGGUGUCCAUUUUCAAAAGAGAAUUGGAGAAGAGAUUCAAAGAAGGGAGAAAGAGCUAAGAAUUGUACAAAUAUAUACAGAUAUCAGUUAUUUGGGAAACUGAAAGAACCGACUUAAGUCACGGAGUACCGUUAUCCGCCAUUUGACCGGGGUGAAAGAGAGACUAGCAAAACAAUAGAUACAACAAAACACAAAACAAUGUGAGAAAAACAAAAUAAUCAACCUUUAUCUACAAGAUCAUUCAAACCAAUGGAUUCAUUUUCACUAGGAAACUCAUCAAAGUAAGCUUUCAAAGGGAUGUCUAUUGACCUUCAAAACAUUGUCAUUCUUUGGAUUCUCAAUAUCAAGGGCCCCAUAAGGAUACACAUGUUUCAAAAUAAAUGGACCGCUCCAUUGUGAUCUUAUUUUUUCAGGAAAUAAAUGGAGUCGAGAAUUAUAAGGCAAAACGUUUUGACCAGUAUCAACUUUUUGACAAUUUUCACAAGUUUUGCAGAAUGCAUGUGUGUCCUUGAACAUGGUGGGCCAAUAGAAUCCAGAUUGUAAGAUUUUUGCAAUCGUCCUUUUUGACGAUAAAUGACUCCCACAUGCCUCAGAAUGACAAAGUUUAAUGACACCACUUACCUCAUUGUCGGGAAUGCAUUUUUGAAAUAAUUGAUCAGGACAAUUUUUGAAUAAGUAAGGGUCAUCCAAAUAAAAGUUCUUCACCUUGUUCAAAAACUUUCCUUUGUCUUCGAUACUCCAGUGAGCUGGCAAAUCUCCUGUUGCAAGAAAAUUGAUAUUUUUAGCAGACCAAGGCAUUGAACAAUGAGAAAGUAAGGAUUCGUCAGGAGAGUAAGCAUCGAUUGGUGGGAUGUCAGAUGUCAAAUCUGUUGUCACUCUUGACAAAAGAUCGGCAUCAAUAUUUUUAGUGCCUUUUUCAUCUGUGAUUUCUUCCUGAGAAUAAAUCAUUUUCAAAUCUUCAGAUUUAUCCAACUCAAUUUUACUCAAAGUAGAUUCAAGUUGAUCAUGAACUAAUUCUUCAAUAAGAUCUACUUCUUGUAAAUCAUUAUCAUCUCCGGGCUGCUUGCAAAUGUUGAAAAUAUUCAUCUCCAAUGUCAUGUUUCCAAAUGAUAGCUUCAUCAGUCCAUUCCUACAAUUAAUCAAUGCAUUAGAAGUUGCAAGAAACGGACGUCCUAAAAUAAUAGGAAAUGAAUUACAUGCUUCAACAGGUUGCGUGUCCAAGACAAUAAAAUCCACAGGAUAAAUGAAUUUAUCGACUUGUACUAACACAUCUUCAAUUAUUCCUCUAGGCACUUUUACAGAUCUAUCGGCAAGUAAAAGAGUUACAGAAGUUGGUUUUAACUCACCUAGAUUGAGACUUGAAAAACUGAAUAUGGAAGUAAAUUCACACUAGCUCCAAGAUCAAGUAAGGCUCUUUCAAUUUUAUGUUCUCCAAUAAAGCAAGAAAUUGUAGGACAACCAGGGUCUUUAUAUUUCAAAGCAUUAUUGUUCUGAAGAAUGGCACUUACUUGUUCGGCUAAAAAGGCUUUCUUUUUCACAUUCAGUUUUCUCUUCACAGUGCACAGAUCUUUCAAAAAUUUAGCAUAGGAAGGAACCUGUUUAAUAGCAUCCAACAAAGGUAUAUUGAUCCUUACCUGUUUGAAAAUUUCAAAGAUUUCAGAGUUGUGAUUGACUUUCCUUUGUUUGGUCAUGGCAUGAGGAAAUGGAAGUGCUGGCGGGGAAUCAGCCUUUUCUUUGCAAUGUUCAGGUUCAACCCCUUCCUUACCCUCAGAGAUAGACUCAUCAUCUUUCUCACAAGGUUCAAGAAUAGGUUUUUCAAUAACCUUACCACUACGAAGAGUGAUGACUGAUUUGACUUGAUCCAUGUGUUGGCUUCCAGAACUACUUGCAUUUGCAUUGUAUUGCCCCUUUGGAUUUUGCUGUGGUUGAGAAGGAAACUUACCUUUCUCUUGGAAACUGAGAGCAGAUGUUAAUUUUGCAAGAGCAUCUUUAAAAUCUGUCAUGCUUUGAGCAAGUUGAGUGUUGAUUGUCUCCUGCUUUUCAAUGAAUGCAUGCAAUGUGUCCUCAAGAUUUCUUCUAGGAGGUGGAGCAUAAGGAGGUGCAUAUCCAUGAGAAUUUUGAAAAUUAUGGUGUGCUUGAAACGGUGGCUGUGAAGUUUGUGCAUUGUUGCUAUCACUCUUCCAACUAAAAUUUGGGUGAUUUCUCCAACCAGGGUUAUAUGUUUGUGAGUAUGGGUUAUGGUUGGGUCUUUGGAAACUGUUUAAAGCAUGGGCUUGUUCAUGGAGGCAUUCCUUGAAAGAAGGCAAAGUUGGACAAUCAUUUUGCAUGCUCAUUGUUUCACAGAUUUGACACACAAUGUCUUGAACAGAUUUUAAUUGACCACUCUUUUUUAAUUCUAGUGCCUCGACUUUUCUAGCUAAAGAUGCAAACUUGGCUUGGAGGUCAUGAUCUUCCCUAAGGUUGUGCAUACCUCCACUAGAUGUAUGAGGUUGAGUUUUACUGGUGCCUCAUAAGUACCUGUGGUGUCCCAAUUUUGAGCAUUUUCGGCUAGCAAGUCUAGGUACUCCAUUGCUUCAUUAGGGUCUUUAUCUUCAAAGGUUCCAUUGCACAUCAAUUCAACCAUUUGCCUAUCUCUAGGUGUUAAACCUUCAUAAAAAUGUGAAACCAAUCUCCAUGUUUCAAAACCAUGAUGUGGGCAAGUAUUAAGCAAAUCUCGAUACCUAUCCCAACAUUGGUAAAAUGUUUCUCCUGGCUUUUGAGUGAAAGUGAUGAUUUGUCUUUUGAAAGAGUUUGUUCUGUGAGAUGGAAAAAACUUCUUUAAAAAUUGUUGUUGCAUAUCAUCCCAAGCACGAAUGGAUCCUGGUCUCAAAUUUUGUAGCCAUGUUUUAGCUUUAUCUUUUAAUGAAAAAGGAAAAAGCUUUAAUCGAAUGGUGUUCAUGCUACAAUUUGAGUCAUUAUAGGUAUUACAGACCUCCUCAAAUUCCCUUAAAUGCAAGUAUGGAUUUUCUAAGUCUAAGCCAUGAAAAGAUGGUAAAAGUUGAAUAAUGCCUGGCUUAAAAUUAAAAUGAGAUGCAUCAGGAGGGAAAACUAUGCAUGAGGGUGCACUUGUUCUUGUGGGAUUCAUGUGGUCUCUAAGUGUUCUCAUACGGUUAUUCUCAUUAUUCUCAUUAUGAAGUGAUUGAUUAUCUUCUUCGGCCAUAUUUUCUGAAAAUGAUGAGGAUACCCUACAAAGUCUACCACUUAAUGUACGUGACCAAACUCUCAUGCACGUGUAAGAAGAGAAUAAAAGCAAGAAAAGAAAAUAGAAGAAAAAGAAACAAAAAAAACAAAAAAAAAAUAGAUAAAAUGAAAAGUGAAAAGAGAAAAUAAAUUAAAUAUUAUAAUUUAUACAAGAAUUUACCUCCCCGGCAACGGCGCCAAAAACUUGACACGACCAAAAGCUUGAUGUCUUUCCCAAGUGCAGGAGUGUCGAAGUAAUAAAUAACCCGGCAAGACCGGGGUCGAACCACAGAGAGGUUAAUUGUAUAAAUUAUAAAUAACAAGACAACAACAACAACAACAACAACAAACAAUAACAACAAUAAUAAUACUCAGUACGUGGCGUUGUUAUACCUGAGAAUGAUCUAAAGAUCGGGUCACAGGUUUCCAGCCUAUAUACUGACUUUAUGAAAAGAUCAAAGAUAUAUAUUAUAUAAUAUAAACAGAAUGUAAAUAAUAAUAAUAAUAAUAAUAACAGAAGAUGAAGAAAUUAAUGAGAACUUUGAGAUAAAAGAUUAACGUAAGGAUUAAACAAUGAUAAAAACAAAUGUCAAGGUUAGAGGAUCCACUAAUGGUACUUCAAACAAGUAUAAUAUAAACUCUUAUUACUCAAUUGGAAACCACACAUAAAGGAGGUUCCAAUCAGAUUAUAAAUUGUUAACAUGAUUACAUUAAUUAUCUUAUUCGAAUAAAGCUAAUACUUGUAAAUGUUGGCAGGCAUUCAUGAUUAUAACUUAUGUUAACAACAAAUCAAGUUCCUUUCAUAGCUCAGGUGUCGGUUAAACCAUACAGUAUGGGCUAUGAAAGUGCCAAGUAUUUGUUGUACCAAGUGUUACACAACAUAAAUCUAGAUUAACCAUUUAACAAGCAAAGUAUUAAAGUGAACAAGAUAACAAAUAUAAAACAUGUUAGUAUCCAACGUUAAGGUCCAUGUUAAGUUUAUAUUAUACUUGUUCUUACACCAUUAGUGUACCCUUUUCACCUUGACAUAAUUAACUUAGCUAGACAUAAUAAAAGAAAGAAACAUAAAUGAGCAAGACAAGAACAUAAAUGAGAAAGAAGUUAACUAGACAAAGGAAAGGAAAUGAAGUGCAUAAACUUGAUAUUAAUGAAAGCAAGACAUAAGCAAUACAAAGAGAGAAAGCAAGAGCAUGAUCUUGAUCUGAACACCAAGAUGCCUCAAUACAUGGUAAGUGCCUCCUUUUAUAGGCCAAAAUUUGGAACUAUUGAUUUGUUGACUAAUUGAUGAGUGGGUGGCCACAUCUUGACUAGAUAACAAUCCUUAUCUUCUUGUCUGAUCAAGACGUCAUUGCUAACAUCAUAAUUUGCCCAGAAUCCUCAAGAAUGUUCUAGGAAAUUGUCUCAGCUUUCCAACAAAAAAAAGAUGAGGUCAUUUGGACUUCUAGAACUCAAGAUAUGGGCUGAACACUAAAUAGUGUUUGGGCUGCAGGACAGCUUCGGACUUCUUCGUUGUUCCUUCAAUUUGGACUUCAAAACGACCUUUUCAAAUCUUGGGCUCCUCAUGAAAGUUGUAGGCCUUUGUCUUACCUUUCCAUCCAUAUAAAAUGGACCUAAAUCCGAGAUCUAGAGCUCCAGAUAUGAUCCAAUUACCGAGCACUGUUCCGGUUUGGACUGCACCGACAUCUCUUUUCUAAAUUUGGCCAUCUCUUUGUCCUUUAACUUUCAAUGCUUAAACUCAUCAAUCAAUCCUUUUAUUUAUGUGAUAGUCCUGCAUUUAAAAUGAGCAUUUACCAUAAAUUAAGGUAUCUUAUAAUAUCAAACUUGUUAUAUAAAACAUGCUUUAGUUAAGGAGUUAUUGAUACUUCAAGUGCAAAAUGAUGAUAUAAAACCUUGAUAAACAUGCACUUUUAAGUACUAAUCAUAAUGAAACUCAAAUUUAGGAUCAAAUGAAUAUUUUUCUUGCCAUUUGAAUCUGAAAGCCUAUUUGAGGUUACGGUUGAACAGUCAUUUCACAAUUGUUUUGAUUUUUUUUCCUUCAAAUUACAAAAGUCUCAACACUAGUUGCAAGCAUUGAGCACACGAGAUAAUCUUGAACUAGGUAUGUAUCUGCUGUAGUCUCUUGGCAUACAUCAAGUUUUGGCAUUUGUACUCAAUAAAUCUCUUGUUAGAUACCAACAGUUUCAUCAUUAGUAGUGCAAGCUCAGCAGAAUUCCAGAAAGAGCAGAGUUUAGUAAUCAAACAAGUGGAAAAAAACACCAGAUAACAAUGUUUGAAACUACAUUUAUUUUAAUUGAUAAAGGUAUAUGUAUAAUACAAGAAAGCAAUGAAAUACAGGGAAAUAGGAAGCGAAAAUAUAUAAAUGAAUGAAAAACACCAGAAGCAAACAGCACAACUCCUCACACUUUCUUCACAGGGACCCGAAAGAUAUGAACUUUUGACAGAAAGCAAACAUAUCAAACUCAGAAUGAGCAAUAGCAUGGUCUAGUUUCCAGGUGGUGGGGAGAGGAACGGGAUAGAGGGGAUUGUUGUUGGGAUAGGGAUAGUGGGCAUUGAGGGCAUGUUCGGAAGUGGAGGCAAGGUGACCUUGGGGAGACUAGGCAUUGUUGGCAGGCUAGGAAGUGGAGGCAGUGUGGGUUUAGGCAGGGAAGGUUGUGCGGUUGGCAAUGUGGGCUGUGGUAGUGUUGGUAUAGAAGGCAUUGGUGGCAACGUUGGUUUAGGCAAAUUGGGUACCGAAGGUAAAGGGGGCAAUUGCAGAAGCUGACGAGCUGCC
RNAcentral lists this long non-coding RNA (21202 nucleotides) under Populus tremula. Its description in RNAcentral is "long non-coding RNA (PTRE_LNC001407)". The stretch from base 19873 to 20028 matches the Rfam family "MIR2912 microRNA precursor family". The record is from RNAcentral. Lineage: Eukaryota; Viridiplantae; Streptophyta; Magnoliopsida; Malpighiales; Salicaceae.